Molecule: long non-coding RNA, 494 nt
Organism: Alnus glutinosa
Lineage: Eukaryota; Viridiplantae; Streptophyta; Magnoliopsida; Fagales; Betulaceae
Exons: 3
Source: RefSeq, a predicted model, not a curated record
GUGAGAUUCACCCACCCUAAAUUAUUUGCCAAAAUUUUUUCCUCAAAAGAUCGGCCUGGCUAUGUGAGACAGAGCUCCGCCAUCAACUCCCUUCCCAACGCGUUAGCACCGAUGACCCAUCAACUACAGAGCCAUCACUAUAGAGCUAGGUGGCAAUGAUCAAGUAAUUGGAACUCAUAUCCUUUACAUCAUUUGGGAAACAAAGCUAGAUUUCAUGGAAAGGAUGGCUUGGAUUGAUGUUGCAAGAACUUUAGACAUACUGCUUUGUACUCUGCAAUCGCUUAGGGAGCUGCUGAAAUUUUUUCCAGCAGCUCUUGUGACUUGAUUUUUAUGUUUCUUGGUUCUUUAGAAUGUUUAUUAACAUGUUGGGACCUUGAUUUGAUCAUCCCAAUCCCAAGAGACUGGUUGCAUGUUUAAAGUUCGAUUAAAUUGUUUGCACCAAGACAGUGUUGCUGCAAAAUUAUGCAGCAACAUGUGUUCAUAUUGAUUUUGUU